UCUCACCUGCAGCUGCCUUUCCACCAACUACACCGUGGACUCCACUGUCAUCGCCUACGUAGAGAAACUGGACAAGGGAGGCUAACCGCUCCAAGUUCGCGAGAAUCCCGGGCAAUAUGCGGACGAGAUUCUCGUAUUGUGCGACAUCACCGCGGAAUUGCCGCAAGGCGUAGACCCGGAUGACAUGCCGAAAGACGACUGCGAGCUGCUAGAGCAGGACGAGAACGUUGAACCUUGUCUGCCCGUGCAGCCCACGACCAAAGCCCCUCCCACUGGGACCGUCACACCUCCCGAAGUGUUUCCUGAGUCCGAUAGCGAAGAGAAGAGCGAACAAGAUGUCCCUUAUGACAGGCUGGAUGCUGGUGCAGUUGAGGACGAAGAUGAAGACGAUGAUUCCGGAAGUGCUGCCGUGCACAUGCGCUACGUCACGCUGCUGAUCUCCUUCCUGUGUGCCGUGCUUCUCUUAUCCUAAUCUGCGCUUACUGUAUCUUUUUUAUAAUUAACCUCUCCAUAGCAGAAUUAAACUAAUAAAUCUACAAUGAAAAUUUUUAUAUGAGUAACAAAUAUUCACAGUAUGGCAUCUCUCUGUGACAAAUUUCCAGCAAAAUGUAGUGAACUACCAUUAACUGACGAAAAACUGAAUAUGUAAAAAAAAAAAAAAAAACAGAACAAAAACAAGGAAUCCAACAGAAGUGAUAUUGUUAAGAUUUGUUGUACUUUCACAUGCUGGUGGUUAUUUACUUUCAGUCACUUAUAACAAGGUAACUGGCUUGAAAACAAUCAGUAUAUUGUCAGGGCAUUUUGCUGUACAAAAAAAUCAUAAGAUAUAUUUGAAAAGUUAAUCAUUUGAUAAAAGUGAGCUUUGUAAGUGAAGGCGACAGAUGUUUUUGUUUUGUACCUGUCGCUCUCAAAACAUCUAAUGCAAACAGGUUCAUGAUAUGCUUAAUUUCAGCAUUAUUCUAGAGUUCUAGCGGAUUGGACAUAAUCAGCACAGGACAAACACUGGCAUCCACAUAUUUGUUCCAAAGGAAACGGGGCUUAGUCUUGACCUUUCUCGUUAUGGUAUUGUUUCUGGAUUAAAAUAUAACUCAUGCUACCAGCGGUCAUCACGAUACUUGUCAUCAUUUUUUUUUAUUAUUAUUUACCUAGUGUUUCCCAUUCUGUAGUUGUGUUUUAACUGUAUCUGCCUUUGAGUUAUUAGAGGAUUAAGGUUUCAGAAUUAGAAAAUUUCUCCUUACAAUUUAUCAUGUAGUGUUCUGUAGGGAUCUUUACCAGUGGCUGUGCUUCACUUGACCGUAGAGUUUAAUUUCAUCUGUUUGUUUGGUUUUUUUUUUAGCUUUUGUGAUUUUAAGCUAAUUGGAAAAUGUAUUUAUUUGAUUUAGAACUUAACUUAUUAACAUCAUCAUGUCGUCUGCUUUGUACAUUUCACCUGUAGAUUGAGUUGAUAGUCACAUUUUGUAACCCCUGAUAUUUUUAACGUGUCUGUACAUUCAUGGUUUUACUAUUUCUUUCUCAUUAAUGUCUUAGUCCUAAGAAUUUUGUUUCCUAUCAUCAUAUAGAAAGGAGAUAAUGUCACUGGGAAUCGUAUACCGUAAUAUUCACGAUCGCCAUCAAUCUGCAUUCCGUUACUAUUUAUGUGGAGGCAAGCAACCUGUUUUUUUUUCCUUCUUUAAAAAAAAUAAUCAGGGGUUUUGUGAUGUGUAAGCUUGAUUGUGUUGUAAAUUUUUACUUAUAUUAUAGCGCUUUUGUCGGCUGGAGGUACACACUCUCCCUCAGUUCACCGAGAAGCCCGUCAGACUAUAGAUUGCUUAGCACACUAUGACAUGCGAAGCAAUAGACUUUUUUUUUUUUUGAAUUAGUGGGUCUGUUGCUCUUGUCAUCGAGUGUCGUUGGAUUGCAGUUUUUUUUAUAUUUAUUCUUUGAACAUCCCUGUUAUUUGUAGAAUUUACCAAAUGUUUGACGAUGAAGAGUUUGUGUACCUUUCUGACCCUUGAACUUGCGCAAAGAUUUCUGUGUGUGUGACAUGCAGGUGUUUGUUUUUUUUUAAUUAAGAAAUGAUUUACAUUUUGUUCUUCAUCAUUGCAGUAUUUUGUCAGACGUAUUGACGAUUCAAUUUUACUUCAGUUAUUUUUGAACGUGUGUAAGAUGUCUGCAAGAAUGGCGAACUUAGCCGAACGAUUCAUACAAAUAAAUAAUUCUGUAUUCGUCGUUAACCUUUGUACCAGUCAUUUCCGUUUCUUGCUGGGUAACCUCUCCCCUUGAUCAGGCUAUGUAUAAUUUCAUUGCUUCUUAUUAGUUUAAAUCCCUUAACUCGUUGAUCUCUCUCUUUUUUAUUACUUUUUAAUUGUUCCCAAAGAGGUGAUUCUUGUUUGGCGAAGUUGAACACUAGAAUGCGUCUAGUACAAAAAAUUGGGACGUUGUUGAGUGCAAGAGCGGUUUGCAAUGGAAGUGAACGAUUUGUGUAAGAACGUGUAGCAACCUGUGGAAGUCUUUUGUAGUUUAACAUAGCGACCGUUGGGUCUAGCAGUUUGAAGUCCUAACAUGGUGGAUGUAACAGUGUCGCAAACCUGUAAUCGUACGCUGGUUUGUGAAUUUUGGGGCUUAGUAACAGCCAGGAGCGAAGACUUUUGCUUGAACUGGCCAUGGCAAUUGGUGGGAGAUGGUUCAUUGUCUACCUGGUGACAUGGUACUACGGCGCGAGCACACACACACACAAGCAGAUGAUUCAUACUUCCUGAUUUCAUUAUUUAACUUUAAUUUGUGCGAUGUUUCACAUUUUCUUUGUAAUCAAGCUACAAGACAGCGUGCCUUUUUGGGGUCGAAUAAUUAUUUUAGGGACAGUCCAUAACGCUAAUAUUUCUUAAUUUUGUUAAAGUGUCCCAAUUUUUAAAAAAAUCGCCAUAAGAAAGUGGUUCUUUAAAAGUACAAUGGUAAAUUCAAAUUCUCUAGUCCGAUAAUGCAAGCUGAGGUUUGAUUCUGCCACUUAAUGCCUUAGAAUUAAUAACGAAUAUUAGAAAUUGUGUUUUAUUGACCUCUAACUUUGUUGAAUCGAAUGGCAUAUUUGUUGACAUAUAACACUAAAGUCUUUAAUGCGAAUGUUUCUCAGAGUUUGUUAUAUCAUCUGUUUGAACACAUAAAAUGGGAGUAAAUUACAGAAAUUUUUGGAGAGAAAACUGUGAUUCUGUGUUUGACAUGUUAGGGCCGAUCAUUCAACUCCUUAAACACAUGGUUGGUGUUAGUUGUUUCCGGUGUUUUUGUCACAUUUACUAUAGCUAUCGAAGUUUUAGCAAAAGUUAUGUUAGACGAAAAGCAAACAAAGAAAUCCUAACAUAAUUCAUGAGGAAAAUGUGCGAUCUGAGAAAAAGUGAAGUUUGAAGGCGAAACAGGGAUGUAUAUCCUUUCGCUGUAGAGUUUUUGUUUUAUGUUUUUGAUGUAUCAGGAAUGAAUGUUUAGUCCGAGGAGGAUGGACGAUUCUGGUUAUGCUUCAGUAAAUUUCACCCUCUAGGUUUGUUUCUCCCGCUUGCCUCGUUUCUUCUAUUGCAAUAUACAAAUAUUGCUGACGAGAAAUUCCCGCAGUUUUAUUGUGUAUUGUGUUUGGUCAUAAAAAAUGAUUUUGAUUGAAA
This 3623-nucleotide long non-coding RNA is filed under the name Pomacea canaliculata. Its description in RNAcentral is "uncharacterized LOC112571878". The record is from RNAcentral. Lineage: Eukaryota; Metazoa; Mollusca; Gastropoda; Architaenioglossa; Ampullariidae.